UUGAUAGGUUAAGAGCUGAUUAACUGGACGUUACCCACAGAAGAAGCACCGGCUAACUCCGUGCCAGCAGCCGCGGUAAUACGGAGGGUGCGAGCGUUAAUCGGAAUUACUGGGCGUAAAGGGUGCGUAGGUGGUUGAUUAAGUUAUCUGUGAAAUUCCUGGGCUUAACCUGGGACGGUCAGAUAAUACUGGUUGACUCGAGUAUGGGAGAGGGUAGUGGAAUUUCCGGUGUAGCGGUGAAAUGCGUAGAGAUCGGAAGGAACACCAGUGGCGAAGGCGGCUACCUGGCCUAAUACUGACACUGAGGCACGAAAGCGUGGGGAGCAAACAGGAUUAGAUACCCUGGUAGUCCACGCUGUAAACGAUGUCAACUAG
Molecule: ribosomal RNA, 375 nt
Filed under: uncultured Legionella sp.
Lineage: Bacteria; Pseudomonadati; Pseudomonadota; Gammaproteobacteria; Legionellales; Legionellaceae
Description: bacterial SSU rRNA
Rfam family: Bacterial small subunit ribosomal RNA
Source: RNAcentral